This 235-nucleotide long non-coding RNA is filed under the name Oryza sativa Indica Group (long-grained rice). RNAcentral describes it as "lncRNA OsZS97_11G024400". The record is from RNAcentral. Lineage: Eukaryota; Viridiplantae; Streptophyta; Magnoliopsida; Poales; Poaceae.
AUGUCGUCGUACUUCCAGACCACUCAACCGUUUAGUAGGACUUACAAGAUCGGUAAACCCAAGGGCGGCGGGGACGGGCAGGGAGCUGAGGGAAAACAAGGAUCCGACGGUGCAGGCCGGCCGCGCGUGCGGAUAAUCACACACAACAACGACCACGAACCACGAGUCGUGCAGCACGAACAAGCUCCAGCUUCAUCUCCGCCUCCGGCCCCCGUCUCCUACUGAAUCAACUAGC